This 724-nucleotide long non-coding RNA is filed under the name Lupinus mutabilis. Its description in RNAcentral is "partial ncRNA". Lineage: Eukaryota; Viridiplantae; Streptophyta; Magnoliopsida; Fabales; Fabaceae. The record is from RNAcentral.
GUGGAGCUCAACCCACAAACACUUGGGAGGAGAUGAAGAUGAUCAUGAGAAGGAGGUUUGUGCCAAGCUCCUAUCAAAGGGACCUUCACAACAAACUUCAACGACUCACCCAAGGUGCUAUGAGUGUGGAUGAGUAUUACAAGGAGAUGGAGUUGGCCUUGCUAAGGUCAAACCUCCAUGAGGACCGUGAAUCCACUAUGGCACGGUUCCUUCAUGGGCUUAAUCAGGACAUCUAGGAUGUGGUGGAGUUGCAGCCUUAUGUCGAGCUUGAUGACUUAGUGCAAAAAGCUCUAAAAGUGGAACAACAACUUAAGAGGAAGAAGUCUAAGCACUCCUCUAACAAGUUUCAAUCUUGGAGGGACGAACCAAAGAAGGAGGAUGGUCCAACAAAGGAGACUAUGGGUGCAUCUAGCACUAAGGAGGUUGUGGGUCCUUCAAGGGAUCAAGGCAAACAUCACGUGGAAACAACCACAAAAAGUCGUGAUGUGAAGUGUUUCAAAUGCCUAGGCAGAGGAUACAUUGCCUCACAAUGUCCUACUAAGAGGACCAUGGUGGUGAUGAAUGGGGUAGUGGAGUCUCAAUCUGAGGCUUCAAGUGAGGAGGACAUUGGAGAAGAAGUGUUCAUGCCAGAGGGUGGCCUAUUCAUGGUGAGGAAACUCUUAGGGAGCCAAGUUAAUGUAAACUCAAUAGGGUCACUCACUAAUUAAUCAUCAUCCACUAUUUG